RNAcentral lists this ribosomal RNA (503 nucleotides) under uncultured bacterium. RNAcentral describes it as "partial 16S ribosomal RNA". It matches the Rfam family "Bacterial small subunit ribosomal RNA", at positions 30 to 523 of the family's 1533-position model. The record is from RNAcentral.
AUUGAACGCUGGCGGCAGGCUUAACACAUGCAAGUCGAGCGGGGUGAUGGUGCUUGCACUAUCACUUAGCGGCGGACGGGUGAGUAAUGCUUAGGAAUCUGCCUAUUAGUGGGGGACAACAUCUCGAAAGGGAUGCUAAUACCGCAUACGUCCUACGGGAGAAAGCAGGGGAUCACUUGUGACCUUGCGCUAAUAGAUGAGCCUAAGUCGGAUUAGCUAGUUGGUGGGGUAAAGGCCUACCAAGGCGACGAUCUGUAGCGGGUCUGAGAGGAGGAUCCGCCACAAUGGGACUGAGACACGGCCCAGACUCCUACUGGAGGCAGCAGUGGGGAAUAUUGGACAAUGGGGGGAAGCCUGAUCCAGCCAUGCCGCGUGUGUGAAGAAGGCCUUAUGGUUGUAAAGCACUUUAAGCGAGGAAGAGGCUCUGUUGGUUAAUACCCAAGAUGAGUGGACGUUACUCGCAGAAUAAGCACCGGCUAACUCUGUGCCAGCCGCCGCGGUAA